UGCAGUCGAACGGAGUUAUUUUGGCAGAAGCCUUCGGGUGGACGCUGAUAUAACUUAGUGGCGAACGGGUGAGUAACACGUGAGCAACCUGCCCUUCAGAGGGGGACAACAGUUGGAAACGACUGCUAAUACCGCAUAAGACCACGGUGUGGCAUCACACAGAGGUCAAAGGAGAAAUCCGCUGAAGGAUGGGCUCGCGUCCAAUUAGCUAGAUGGUGAGGUAACGGCCCACCAUGGCGACGAUUGGUAGCCGGACUGAGAGGUUGAUCGGCCACAUUGGGACUGAGACACGGCCCAGACUCCUACGGGAGGCAGCAGUGGGGAAUAUUGCACAAUGGAGGAAACUCUGAUGCAGCGACGCCGCGUGAGGGAAGAAGGUCUUCGGAUUGUAAACCUCUGUUGUCAGGGACGAUAAUGACGGUACCUGACGAGGAAGCCACGGCUAACUACGUGCCAGCAGCCGCGGUAAAACGUAGGUGGCAAGCGUUGUCCGGAAUUACUGGGUGUAAAGGGAGCGCAGGCGGGAGAGCAAGUUGGAAGUGAAAUCUGUGGGCUCAACUCACAAAUUGCUUUCAAAACUGUUUUUCUUGAGUGGUGUAGAGGUAGGCGGAAUUCCCGGUGUAGCGGUGGAAUGCGUAGAUAUCGG
This 646-nucleotide ribosomal RNA is filed under the name uncultured bacterium. RNAcentral describes it as "bacterial SSU rRNA". It matches the Rfam family "Bacterial small subunit ribosomal RNA", at positions 56 to 700 of the family's 1533-position model. The record is from RNAcentral.